UACGUAGGGGGCCAGCGUUGCUCGGAAUUACUGGGCGUAAAGGGUUCGUAGGCGGUGCGGCAAGUUGGGAGUGAAAUCUCUGGGCUUAACUCAGGGGCUGCUUUCAAAACUGCCGCGCUCGAGUGCGAGAGAGGUCAGUGGAAUUGCAGGUGUAGCGGUGGAAAUGCGUAGAUAUCUGCAGGAACACCCGUGGCCGAAGGCGGCUGACGUGGAUCGCAACUGACGCUGAGGAACGAAAGCUAGGGGAGCAAACAGG
RNAcentral lists this ribosomal RNA (256 nucleotides) under uncultured bacterium. Its description in RNAcentral is "partial 16S ribosomal RNA". It matches the Rfam family "Bacterial small subunit ribosomal RNA", at positions 524 to 776 of the family's 1533-position model. The record is from RNAcentral.